CAGUCGCCGCGGUAAUACGAAGGGUGCAAGCGUUAAUCGGAAUUACUGGGCGUAAAGCGCGCGUAGGUGGUUUGGUAAGAUGGAUGUGAAAUCCCCGGGCUCAACCUGGGAACUGCAUCCUUAACUGCCUGACUAGAGUACGGUAGAGGGUGGUGGAAUUUCCUGUGUAGCGGUGAAAUGCGUAGAUAUAGGAAGGAACACCAGUGGCGAAGGCGACCACCUGGACUGAUACUGACACUGAGGUGCGAAAGCGUGGGGAGCAAACAGGAUUAGAUACCCGAGUAGUCCCUGUCUCUUAUAC
Molecule: ribosomal RNA, 301 nt
Filed under: uncultured bacterium
Lineage: Bacteria
Description: partial 16S ribosomal RNA
Rfam family: Bacterial small subunit ribosomal RNA
Source: RNAcentral